Long non-coding RNA from Chelonia mydas (Green sea turtle), 292 nucleotides. RefSeq lists it as uncharacterized. NCBI's taxonomy places the organism in Eukaryota, Metazoa, Chordata, Testudines, Cheloniidae. The record is from RefSeq and is a predicted model, not a curated record. The transcript has 3 exons.
GGAGGACUGAGGAGUACAAGCGUGAUCAGGCUUCAGGAGGAAGAUCCUGCGCUCCUGGACCAGAGCCAGGGCCAUGUGGAAGGAUGAUAACACUACUUUUGUAGGAGAGACCCUUGAGCAGCCAGUUGUCGAGGUACAGAAGGAUGAGGAUCACUUCCUGCUGAAGAAUUGAGAGCCAAGCAGAAGUUGCACUUCUGGGAGAUGUGGGACUCCUCCAAGCAAUGGACAUGCUUAGAGUGGCUGUUGCUUACAGGAAUAGCCUCUUGGCAGGAGAGGCAGCAUUUGAAGCCAG